This 569-nucleotide small RNA is filed under the name Pan troglodytes (chimpanzee). RNAcentral describes it as "processed transcript". Lineage: Eukaryota; Metazoa; Chordata; Mammalia; Primates; Hominidae. The record is from RNAcentral.
AGCGUUAACCGGCGGGGCGGCCGGUUUUAUGAAUGAAGCUAUGGCUACAGAUUCCCCAAGAAGACCCAGUCGUUGUACUGGUGGAGUUGUGGUUCGCCCCCAGGCUGUCACAGAGCAGUCCUACAUGGAAAGUGUUGUGACUUUUCUGCAGGAUGUUGUGCCACAGGCUUACAGUGGAACACCUCUAACAGAAGAAAAGGAGAAAAUAGUCUGGGUCAGAUUUGAAAAUGCAGAUCUAAAUGAUACAUCAAGAAAUCUGGAAUUUCAUGAAAUACAUAGUACUGGGAAUGAACCGCCUUUGUUGAUUAUGAUUGGCUACAGUGAUGGAAUGCAGGUCUGGAGCGUCCCUAUCAGUGGCGAAGCACAAGAGCUCUUCUCUGUUCGACAUGGCCCAAUUCGAGCGGCUAGAAUCUUGCCUGCUCCACAGUUUGGUGCUCAAAAAUGUGAUAACUUUGCUGAAAAAAGACCCCUCCUUGGUGUUUGUAAGAGCAUUGGAUCUUCUGGAGUCUCCUUCUGUCACCCAGGCUGGAGUACUGUGGUGCAAUCUCGGCUCACUGCAACCUCUGCCU